GAUGAAGAACGUAGCAAAAUGCGAUAAGUAAUGUGAAUUGCAGAAUUCAGUGAAUCAUCGAAUCUUUGAACGCACAUUGCGCCCGCUAGUAUUCUGGCGGGCAUGCCUGUCCGAGCGUCAUUUCAACCCAUCAAGCUUAGCGCUUGUGUUGGAGCCCUGCGGCCGCCGCAGCCUCCUAAAAUCAGUGGCGGGCUCGCUAUCACGCUGAGUGCAGUAGUAUUCUUCUCACUCCUGUGGUGUAGCGGGUAACCAGCCGUAAACCCCCCCAUCUAUAAAGGUUGACCUCGGAUCAGGUAGGAAUACCCGCUGAACUUAAGCAUAUCAAUAAGCGGAGGA
RNAcentral lists this unclassified non-coding RNA (336 nucleotides) under soil metagenome. RNAcentral describes it as "partial contains 5.8S ribosomal RNA, internal transcribed spacer 2, and large subunit ribosomal RNA". The stretch from base 1 to 120 matches the Rfam family "5.8S ribosomal RNA", at positions 35 to 154 of the family's 154-position model. The record is from RNAcentral.